GAUGAACGCUGGCGGCGUGCCUAAUACAUGCAAGUCGAGCGAACGGACGAGAAGCUUGCUUCUCUGAUGUUAGCGGCGGACGGGUGAGUAACACGUGGAUAACCUACCUAUAAGACUGGGAUAACUUCGGGAAACCGGAUCUAACACCGGAUAAUAUUUUGAACCGCAUGGUUCAAAAGUGAAAGACGGUCUUGCUGUCCCUUAUAGAUGGAUCCGCGCUGCAUUAGCUAGUUGGUAAGGUAACGGCUUACCAAGGCAACGAUGCAUAGCCGACCUGAGAGGGUGAUCGGCCACACUGGAACUGAGACACGGUCCAGACUCCUACGGGAGGCAGCAGUAGGGAAUCUUCCGCAAUGGGCGAAAGCCUGACGGAGCAACGCCGCGUGAGUGAUGAAGGUCUUCGGAUCGUAAAACUCUGUUAUUAGGGAAGAACAUAUGUGUAAGUAACUGUGCACAUCUUGACGGUACCUAAUCAGAAAGCCACGGCUAACUACGUG
This 497-nucleotide ribosomal RNA is filed under the name uncultured bacterium. Its description in RNAcentral is "partial 16S ribosomal RNA". It matches the Rfam family "Bacterial small subunit ribosomal RNA", at positions 28 to 507 of the family's 1533-position model. The record is from RNAcentral.